This 253-nucleotide ribosomal RNA is filed under the name uncultured bacterium. RNAcentral describes it as "partial 16S ribosomal RNA". It matches the Rfam family "Bacterial small subunit ribosomal RNA", at positions 524 to 776 of the family's 1533-position model. The record is from RNAcentral.
UACGGGGGGGGCAAGCGUUGUUCGGAAUUACUGGGCGUAAAGGGCUCGUAGGCGGCCAACUAAGUCAGACGUGAAAUCCCCAGGCUCAACCUGGGAACUGCGUCUGAUACUGAUUGGCUUGAAUCCGGGAGAGGGAUGCAGAAUUCCAGGUGUAGCGGUGAAAUGCGUAGAUAUCUGGAGGAAUACCGGUGGCGAAGGCGGCAUCCUGGACCGGCAUUGACGCUGAGGAGCGAAAGCCAGGGGAGCGAACGGG